UAUCAGACUUGUUACAAGGGUGUUCCAUAUACAGUCAUAUGAUAUAACAAUAUUGUUACAACCUAAUGUGUCAUCAAACUUGUAACAUUCUUGUUAUAUCAUGACUGUAUCGGACUUGCUAGAACAACCUUGUAACAAGUCUGAUA
This is a non-coding RNA of Paramuricea clavata, 146 nucleotides long. The record is from the annotation of a GenBank genome assembly. Lineage: Eukaryota; Metazoa; Cnidaria; Anthozoa; Malacalcyonacea; Plexauridae.